UUCUUUUUCGUCUCCUGAUUAUCAGUAGCCCAAUUUCUAUAUGUCUUUAGCUUUGACCAAAGAAUCAUAUUUUUGGUUAAACAACGAUAUGUUCUGUUUAUUCUCAACGUUUAGCAUGAAAUGGUCUGUUUAUGUCUCAGCAGUGACAGUGAAAUUUUCUUAUAUUUUGGUGGUUUCGAUCUUAAUUAUUGUCCAGUAGCUUACCUCCGAGUAGAUAGUGCAGAAACUGCUUGGCGUUGAAAUUAUGGCCUUGUUUUCAUCCAAAACCAAGUGAUGAUCAAGUGAUAACAUCAGCCCAAGAGGUUGAUGCUUGCCUUGAUUUGUUUCACUUAAUUUCUCCUCCUUAUUAUCCAUGUUACAACUCUCAACACCUUUCCAGCUAUAUAUAAAUACAUAAUCAAGUGUAUCUUCUCAUUUAUGGGGAAUUAUCUACCAUGAAACUGAAACAUGAAAGUGGGGGGUAAGAAGUCGGCAAAUAAAAAAUUUAGGGAAGAGGGGUGAAACAACCAGGUACAACAGAUGAUUCUGGUGCCUAGCUGUUAAUAGAGUUUGGCGAAGUUUAGGCCUUUGCAGCUUGAACUGGAGCUGCAGCUCUGCUGGCAACGAUCUGCUCGUAGAGGUCUCUGAUCUUCAAACCGACAAUGGUCUGGAAGAAACCUGUUCCAUUGUUGCUACCAGGGAAAUCAGCAUGCUUCAACAUUUGUUGAGUAACUUCACCAUAGAAUUUGGUGGAGAGGUUGCUCAAAUGGCUCUCUACAUAGAUGAGCUCAUCUAGUCUGUCAAAUUGGCCAUCCAUCUCCAAGACAGAUACCUGUAAGUUGGAAGAAAAGCAGAUGAUGAAAAUCAGGCAUGAUUUCUGGAAAAA
RNAcentral lists this long non-coding RNA (865 nucleotides) under Nicotiana tabacum (common tobacco). Its description in RNAcentral is "long non-coding RNA (NTAB_LNC010698)". Lineage: Eukaryota; Viridiplantae; Streptophyta; Magnoliopsida; Solanales; Solanaceae. The record is from RNAcentral.